GCCGUUGUAACUCAGUUGGCAGAGUAUCUGAUUCGUAAUCAGAAAGUCGGAGGUUCGAUUCCUCUCAACGGCACCA
RNAcentral lists this transfer RNA (76 nucleotides) under Rhodospirillaceae bacterium. RNAcentral's name for it is "tRNA-Thr". It matches the Rfam family "tRNA". From Rfam's summary of the family: Transfer RNA (tRNA) molecules are approximately 80 nucleotides in length. Their secondary structure includes four short double-helical elements and three loops (D, anti-codon, and T loops). RNAcentral also lists the same sequence under 1 other name. Lineage: Bacteria; Pseudomonadati; Pseudomonadota; Alphaproteobacteria; Rhodospirillales; Rhodospirillaceae. The record is from RNAcentral.